AUUGAACGCUGGCGGCAUGCCUUACACAUGCAAGUCGAACGGAUUGAAGGGGCUUGCUCCUUCAGUUAGUGGCGAACGGGUGAGUAAAGCAUCGGAACGUACCCAGUCGUGGGGGAUGACGUAGCGAAAGUUACGCUAAUACCGCAUACGAUCUGAGGAUGAAAGCGGGGGAUCGCAAGACCUCGCGCGAUUGGAGCGGCCGAUAUCAGAUUAGGUAGUUGGUGGGGUAAAGGCCUACCAAGCCAACGAUCUGUAGCUGGUCUGAGAGGACGACCAGCCACACUGGAACUGAGACACGGUCCAGACUCCUACGGGAGGCAGCAGUGGGGAAUUUUGGACAAUGGGCGCAAGCCUGAUCCAGCAAUGCCGCGUGCAGGAUGAAGGCCUUCGGGUUGUAAACUGCUUAUGUACGGAACGAAAAGGCUCUGGUUAAUACCUGGGGCUCAUGACGGUACCGUAAGAAUAAGCACCGGCUAACUACGUGCCAGCCGCCGCGGUAA
This 500-nucleotide ribosomal RNA is filed under the name uncultured bacterium. Its description in RNAcentral is "partial 16S ribosomal RNA". It matches the Rfam family "Bacterial small subunit ribosomal RNA", at positions 30 to 523 of the family's 1533-position model. The record is from RNAcentral.